RNAcentral lists this ribosomal RNA (158 nucleotides) under Garcinia gnetoides. Its description in RNAcentral is "5.8S ribosomal RNA". It matches the Rfam family "5.8S ribosomal RNA". Rfam says of the family: 5.8S ribosomal RNA (5.8S rRNA) is a component of the large subunit of the eukaryotic ribosome. It is transcribed by RNA polymerase I as part of the 45S precursor that also contains 18S and 28S rRNA. Lineage: Eukaryota; Viridiplantae; Streptophyta; Magnoliopsida; Malpighiales; Clusiaceae. The record is from RNAcentral.
UCAAAAUGACUCUCGGCAACGGAUAUCUCGGCUCUUGCAUCGAUGAAGAACGUAGCGAAAUGCGAUACGUGGUGUGAAUUGCAGAAUCCCGUGAACCAUCGAGUUUUUGAACGCAAGUUGCGCCCAAAGCCUUUUGGUUGAGGGCACGUCUGCCUGGG